This 247-nucleotide ribosomal RNA is filed under the name uncultured bacterium. RNAcentral's name for it is "partial 16S ribosomal RNA". It matches the Rfam family "Bacterial small subunit ribosomal RNA", at positions 523 to 769 of the family's 1533-position model. The record is from RNAcentral.
AUACGUAGGUGGCAAGCGUUGUCCGGAAUUACUGGGUGUAAAGGGAGCGCAGGCGGGACAGCAAGUCAGUGGUGAAAUUCAUGGGCUUAACCCAUGAAAUGCCAUUGAAACUGUUGUUCUUGAGUGGAUCAGAGGCAAGCGGAAUUCCGAGUGUAGCGGUGAAAUGCGUAGAUAUUCGGAGGAACACCAGUGGCGAAGGCGGCUUGCUGGGGUCUAACUGACGCUGAGGCUCGAAAGCGUGGGUAGC